AUUGAACGCUAGCGGCAUGCCUUACACAUGCAAGUCGAACGGCAGCACGGGGCAACCUGGUGGCGAGUGGCGAACGGGUGAGUAAUGUAUCGGAACGUGCCCAGUAUCGGGGGAUAACUACGCGAAAGCGUAGCUAAUACCGCAUACGCCCUACGGGGGAAAGGGGGGGAUCGCAAGACCUCUCACUAUUGGAGCGGCCGAUAUCGGAUUAGCUAGUUGGUGAGGUAAAGGCUCACCAAGGCUUCGAUCCGUAGCUGGUUUGAGAGGACGACCAGCCACACUGGGACUGAGACACGGCCCAGACUCCUACGGGAGGCAGCAGUGGGGAAUUUUGGACAAUGGGGGCAACCCUGAUCCAGCAAUGCCGCGUGUGCGAAGAAGGCCUUCGGGUUGUAAAGCACUUUUGGCGGGAAAGAAACGGUGCCGAAUAAUACCUGGCGCCACUGACGGUACCCGCAGAAUAAGCACCGGCUAACUACGUG
RNAcentral lists this ribosomal RNA (482 nucleotides) under uncultured bacterium. Its description in RNAcentral is "partial 16S ribosomal RNA". It matches the Rfam family "Bacterial small subunit ribosomal RNA", at positions 30 to 507 of the family's 1533-position model. The record is from RNAcentral.